UCUUCCGCAAUGGAAGAAAGUCUGACGGAGCAACGCCGCGUGAGGGAUGAAGGUUUUCGGAUCGUAAAACUCUGUUGUUAGGGAAGAACAAGUACCGUUCGAAUAGGGCGGCACCUUGACGGUAACUAACCAGAAAGCCACUGCUCACUACGUGCCAGCAGCCGCGGUAAUACGUAGGUGGCAAGCGUUGUCCGGAAUUAUUGGGCGUAAAGCGCGCGCAGGCGGUUUCUUAAGUCUGAUGUGAAAGCCCCCGGCUCAACCGGGGAGGGGCAUUGGAAAAUGGGGAACUUGAGUGCAGAAGAGGAGAGUGGAAUUCCACAUGUAGCGGUGAAAUGCGUAGAGAUGUGGAGGAACACCAGUGGCGAAGGCGACUCUCUGGUCUGUAACUGACGCUGAGGCGCGAAAGCGUGGGGAGCGAACAGG
Molecule: ribosomal RNA, 423 nt
Filed under: uncultured bacterium
Lineage: Bacteria
Description: bacterial SSU rRNA
Rfam family: Bacterial small subunit ribosomal RNA
Source: RNAcentral